Molecule: long non-coding RNA, 818 nt
Filed under: Anser brachyrhynchus (Pink-footed goose)
Lineage: Eukaryota; Metazoa; Chordata; Aves; Anseriformes; Anatidae
Description: lncRNA (ENSABRG00000000063.1)
Source: RNAcentral
GCCCACGUUUUUCUCUGCGCUGCCCCUUGCAGAGCGGCCCGGAGCCCAGCGCCGCCCCGCGUAGGAAGGGCAAGAAGGGCAAGGGGAAAGGCAAGCGCAAGGGGAAAGGCAAGAAGAGGAGGAACAAGGAGCUGCAGGAGCAGCACGAGGCCUCCGAGCCCUCUGCCGUGGCCAACCAGGCCAGCGCGCCCACGCCGACGCCGCCGUCUCUGGAGGACGGCUCCCCGCCGCCGGUCACCUCCAGCCUGGCCACCACCGUGAGCGUCGCCCUGAACCGCACCGACCCCUUCGAGGACGCUGGCGAGGAGCUCGUGCUGGAAUCCGGGGAGGACGGAGCCGCUGGGGCUGCCAGCGCGGAGCUGCCAGGCUACGAGGACUACUACGACGGGGACCCUGCGAGCCCGGAGCGGUUCGGCCCGGCCGAGCGGGAGGAGACGGUGAUCCGGGCUCCCCAGGUAACGCUGGGGACGAGGACCGGGACCCCCUCCAGCCACGGCCGGACGAGCUGGGGCCACGGUAUGGGGUCCGGGGGCCGUGCAGGCGGUUCGGAGCUCUGCCCCGAGCUCGCGGCCGCGUCCCCUCACCGCGGCGCCGCGCUGCGUCCCGCAGGAGCCCAGCCUGAAGGGGGACAAGGGCGAGCCGGCCGUCGUGGAGCCGGUGAGUGGGGUACGGCCGCUCGGGGACGCGUGGCGCCCUGCUGCAAGCCACCCGUGGCUGGUGGCUCGCAGGACAGGGCGCAGGGACGCGCCGCGCUCACUCCCUUCUCUUUUAGGAUCGGCGAUUUGAGGGGCCGCCGGGACCCCCGGGCCCUGCGGUAA